Molecule: transfer RNA, 74 nt
Filed under: Araneus ventricosus
Lineage: Eukaryota; Metazoa; Arthropoda; Arachnida; Araneae; Araneidae
Description: tRNA-Thr
Source: RNAcentral
AGGCACCGGCGAGAUUCGAACUCACUAUCGCCUGUUUACUAGACAGGCGCUUUAACCAACCAAGCCACGGCGCC